CGCGCCGGCCGCGGCUUGGAGCGCGCAGGUGGCGGCAGCUCUGCCGGGCGACCGGCGCGCCCCGGCUCCGGCACUCUUCCCGGGUCGUUCCCCCAGCCCUGGGAGGCCUCUGGUCUGGGGUCUGGGAUUGGGGCGUUGGUGGGUGUCCCAGCGUGUCCCGCUCCCCUCCCUCUCCUGCGCAGAGGCCACGAGGAAGCCGCUGCCUGCGUCCCGAGCCGCUGGGAGGCCCAAGAGGCGGGAAGCCUGCCUUGACUCCAGCCCUGAAACCCCAGGUGCGGGGACCCGGGCCUCGGUAAGGUGCCCCUCCCUCGGAAGCCCAUGGGAACCAGCAGGUGGAAGGCCAGGAGGCUACCACAUUCAGACCUUUCCCCACCUGGGCCUCAGUUUCCCAUCUAGCCCCGAGAGCAGACACAAGCCACCAGGGGCCCAGAAGUCGACACAAAGAGGCGCCGCUGCAGCCGGACCAUCUUGAUGGCGUCCAGGCGGAUCUCCACGACAUUGCUGAAGAAGGCGAGCAGCGGGGCGAGCGGGAAGGCGGCCACGAAGAUGGUGGUGAAGCCGUACUGGAUCACUG
Molecule: long non-coding RNA, 574 nt
Organism: Phyllostomus hastatus (greater spear-nosed bat)
Lineage: Eukaryota; Metazoa; Chordata; Mammalia; Chiroptera; Phyllostomidae
Exons: 3
Source: RefSeq, a predicted model, not a curated record